This is a long non-coding RNA of Clupea harengus (Atlantic herring), 2914 nucleotides long. The record is from Ensembl. NCBI's taxonomy places the organism in Eukaryota, Metazoa, Chordata, Actinopteri, Clupeiformes, Clupeidae.
CACACACAGACACACACACACACACACACACUCACCACAGACACACACACAGACACAAACACAUACAUACAGAGACACACACACACAUACAUACAGAGACACACAGACACACACACAGAGACACACACACACACAGACAGACAGACAGACACACACACACACACACACACACACACACACACACACACAGAGAGAGACACACACACACAGAGACACACACAGAGACACACACACACACACACACACACACACACACACACACACACACAUACACUCACACACACAGACACAGACACACACACACAGACACACACAGACACACACACAGAGACACACACACACACACACACACACACACACACACUCACAUUUCAGCUAGAGAGGAAGCCGUCCUCCUGGUUUUGGGUGUGUGAUUAAAACCAGGACAGGGGAAUCUAAACAUAUACAGUAUAUAUAUAUAUGUGUAUACAGAUCGAUAUUGUAUUCAGAAAGUUUUAAUUUUACUAACAAGAUUUAGACGAGUCAGUACAGAAAAAAAACAAUUAUUUUAGAGAUGACAGUUAGUCUUAUGAUGUGUGUGUAAGAGAAUCAUUUUAAAUACUCCAUGUUAUAUCAGAUUGGGUAAAGUGUGGAUGUGUGUGUGUGUGUGUGUGUGUGUGUGUGUGUGUGUCCCUGCUGGUCAGAGAGCUCAGUGCCUGGAGAAUAAAGAUGGUGAAUUGUGUGUGUGUGUGUGUGUGUGUGUGUGUGUGUGUGUGUGUGUGUGUGUGACACCCCCCCUCCUCUGUAAUUUAUUCAGAUGUGUAUUUUUAAACCUGCUAACUGUGAUCCAGAUUCUCUCUUGGAGGAGACUGGGGAACUAACGGCAGUUAACAUUUCACUUUUAAGGGACCAAAACAACCCAAUGUUUGUAAGAGCACAAUCAGUCUUAUCUGUGUGUGUGUGCGUGUGUGUGUGUGUGUGUGUGUGUGUGUGUGAGAGAGAGUAAUCCAUCAGUAGUUAGGGCUUUUCUCUUGGUUGGCAAACGGAGCUGUCUACCUGUCUUAAAAAACUACAAUAGAGAGCAUCACAGAAACUCUUCCGGUUUCCAACACAAAUACGGCCACAUGCUAGCAGAGCUUUUAGAAUGCUAACGGGGAAUGCUUUGGGAACACACGCCAUUCAGAUAUUUACAUUUACAUUUACAUUUAGUCAUUUAGCAGACGCUUUUGUCCAAAGCGAGGUACAAGGGAGAGAACAGUCAAGCUAAGAGCAAUAAAAAACAUGGUGUAACAAUAAAUACUACUUUACAUAAGAAUUAGAAAAACGACCUAGAAAGGAAAAAGAAGUGCAGGAAUGUAACUGCUGAAGUGCAAGUUAAGCGCUAGUCAAGGUGCCAGUUAGGAAGGGAGGUGCUCUCUGAAGAGUUGGGUCUUCAAAAGCUUCUUGAAGGUAGAGAGGGACGCCCCUGCUCUGGUAGUACUAGGAUGGUUUCAAUACAUAUUUCUUUUGGUAAGCCCUGUAAAUGUUCAUUCUAUCCACUAGCUAUGGUGAAAUACCAAAACACAUCACCAACAGAGGUCAUUACAGAGUCCUUUACAACCCAAUACAAUUCCCAUUAUAACCACUAAAGCCAUUAGAAUGUCUGUGAUAGUUGUGAUUUGCUUUGAUCUGUCAUCAACAAUAUGGCAUUUAUUUUCUUUGUUAUUGUUUGGUUCAAGAGUAUCCUAGGCGACAGAGCAGGCGGCAGACAUUCCAUUUAGAAUGUUAGGGGCCAACGGUCCUUUGUGAUGUCACAGACAGACGUGCAGACGUGUGCAUCUGCAUCAGGUUUUACUUCCUGUAUUCCAUAAAACGUGGAAGUCAAGAGUUCCGACUGCCAUUCCGAGCCAUGUCCUCAGUGUUCCCGUGUGUGUGUGUGUGUGUGUGUGUGUGUGUGUGUGUGUGUGUGUGUGUGUGUGUGUGUGUGUGUGUGUGUGUGUGUGUGUUCCUGGAGGAACAGAGGCUUAGGACUCAAGCGCUACAGACUGGACAGAUUCUGAGCUGCGGUUUGUUAGUCGUUUUGGAGUUUGUUUUUUGGCUAUCAAUGUGGAGCAGAUAUAUUGAGUACAGAAUGUGUUGUAGGACGGCAGGGGAGGUUUACAGAAAGACUCAGGUGCCAGGGUUCAGAGGAGCCAGGACUGCACUGCAGGGACAGAAGUGAAGUUAGGAUGUAUUAGAAUAUUGUGUGUGUGUGUGUGUAUUUUUGUGGGAAACUUAAAGCGUCAGUUGUUCCUCUGUGUGUGUGUGUGUGUUGGACUGGAUCAACUAAAAACUGAAACUGGACCAAACUGAAGCCACUGUGUGAGAUGGGGGUGGUGUGUGUGUGUGUGUGUGUGUGUGAGAUGGGGGUGGUGUGUGUGUGUGUGUGUGUGUGUGUGAGAGAGAGAGAGAGUGGGGCGCGAGCUACAGGCUUCAGACAGGGGCUUCUUUAUCUGCCACAUGAGUGAAUGUGUGUGUGUGUGUGUGUGUGUGUGUGUGUGUGUGUGCGUGCGUGCGACACUCUUGACUGUCUGUGUUUGAUUUAUAUUGCUUUCACAAACAAAAAAUUCUGGGGGGAAAGAUUUCAAUCCAACUGUAGCCUUGAGCUAAAGGCCCAUGACGAUGUGAUGAAGAUGAGAUGAUGAAACCGAGUGAUUCUGAUGAUGAAGAGGGUUUGUAAUUUGGCUGUGAGUUUUUAUAAAGCACCCCUCUGUGUGUGUGUUGAUUUUUGUACCUGGGACACUUUGCCACACUGUCGCUUCGACCUUUGACCUUUGACCUUUCCACUCCAUGACCUGUCCCCUUUGACCCCCAGCACUGCGCUGCGUUUUCAUUGGCUCAUGUGGGCACAUGCGGUAUGUGUGUGUGUUAUGCCUGUUGUGACUCGUACUUUAAUAAAUGUCUCCGAUCAUCACCA